UUCAUAGCCAUAACACCAAAGACAGUACGUGAUAACGUUUUGUUCUACCAGAAAACAUUAUGGUUUUACUUUUAAUGGUUCUACCUUGUACACAUACGGCUGCUGUGGAGUGAGCCAGUGGGUAAUGGAUGGAGCAGGAGGAAGUGCCGGACACAAUUGGUCAGGCCAGACACUCUUUGGAUGCAUCAAUAAGAGAGAGGAAGAUUAAGACGGUUGGACAGAACCUUCAGAGACUGUAGAGGGGAAUGACUCCCCGUUCAAUGGAACAGACGCAUCACAGCCCAGAGUAAGGGGUUCCUCCUGUCUCUUCACUGAGGUUUCAGAGUCAAGUGGGGAGGAUGAAGAUGCCCUUUCCUCUGAGACAAAACCAUAGAGAACAGAGCUUCAAAAAAUAGAAAAAUCAUCUCCAGCCCUAAAGCAGCACAGAAAAUGGGGCAAAAGAAGGCCACGCCUCUCUCCAUCCACUCCACCCUGGACACCCAUCCCUGCCAAAUCCAGGAAGAACGCUCAUCCAGCCACACCUCUUAACAGUGGGUCAGCGAGGAGGUGGAGGACUGAGGAUGAACCAGAACAAGAGCCUAAACCGUUCCGCUUCGAACCAGCCAGGACUCCAGGACCCCAGCUAGACACUUCAAAGAACUACACCCCUCUAGAGCUCUUCCAGCUGUUCUUCAGUAAUGACAUUGUUGAUACUCUCCGCUCAAACACAAACAAGAAUGCCAAGAGAAGACAGGAACAGGGAUUUAAAGAAACAUGGAGACCUGUAUCCAUGGAGGAAAUGUACAAAUACCUCAAGAUUUCGGGCCAAUCACCUAUUCACUGCACUUGAGUGACCCAGCAGAGGAUGAGGAAAAGGCCAAGAAGAAGGGGACUGCAGGGUACGAUCGGCUCAUGAGAAUCAAACCUCUCAAAGACCAGCUAUUGGAGACAUGCAGGGACUUCUCCUAUUCCAGAACCUUUCCAUUGAUGAGCGCAUGGUGCGCUCCAAGGCCCACCAAAGCCUCAAACAAUACAUGAAAUCCAAGCGCUACAGGUAUGGAUUCAAGGUCUAUGUUUUAGCUGAUUCACGAAAUGGCUACACCUGUGACUUCAAUGUAUUUAUAGGCAAGAACCCAUCUGCUACAGGAAAAGGGGAGUGCUAUGACGCUGUCAUGAUCCUGUUGAAUGUCCCUCACUUGGGCACAGGGUACCACAUUUACCUUUGAUAGCUAUUUCACCAGCGCAACUCUCUUCCGUGACCUGUACAAGAAGAAAUUGGGAGCAUGUGGAACCAUACGUGAAAACCAUGUGGGCCUCUCUGGCAUCCAAGAGAACAGCAUGCCUCCCAGAGCAAAGAGAGGGACCAUCCGCUGGCUUCGUGGCUGGGAGCUGCUCUUCAAGUAGAUGGACGCAUGACCAGUCACCAUGUGCUGACGUUGCACUGAAAGGGGAUGUUCAGGAGGAGAGGGGGGAGGAGCAGGAGGAACAACAGAGUAAACAGCGAGUGGAAAAGCAGGGUGAAGAAGAGGAGGUGGAAAUGGGUUCAUUGUGCUGUCCUGUGCCCACUAAUGAUCCCAUCACUGUUGAGACAAGGGAUAAAGCUAGUGAGGGCAGGAUGGUCUGUCAUUUGUGCAAGAAAAAUAGCAUUUGGCAGUGCGAGUCCCGCAAGGUGGCACUCUGCAUUAUACCAGAUUGGAACUGAUUCAGAAUAUGGCAUGUGAAUAAAGACAAUGAAGACAAGUUAAUAAUUUAUUUUCGUUCCAUGGGUGAGGCCUACAGGAUUUCUGAAUUGGUGGGAUGUAUAGGGAAUUGUUGUACCUAUAUACUGUAUUGUUGCACAUGUAGCUAACACAUUCAAACGUAUUUGUGUUCGCCACAAAUGUUUUCUUAGGGUAGCCAACAUUCUGAAUAGAUUUGUGUGGCGAAAACAUGUCUUAGGGGAGAGUGGGGUAAGUUUAGCCACCCUUGUUUCUAGGAAACCACACACAAAAUUAAUAAUUUGACCAAAU
Molecule: long non-coding RNA, 1988 nt
Organism: Coregonus clupeaformis (lake whitefish)
Lineage: Eukaryota; Metazoa; Chordata; Actinopteri; Salmoniformes; Salmonidae
Exons: 3
Source: RefSeq, a predicted model, not a curated record